RNAcentral lists this ribosomal RNA (250 nucleotides) under uncultured Lachnospiraceae bacterium. Its description in RNAcentral is "partial 16S ribosomal RNA". It matches the Rfam family "Bacterial small subunit ribosomal RNA", at positions 524 to 773 of the family's 1533-position model. The record is from RNAcentral. Lineage: Bacteria; Bacillati; Bacillota; Clostridia; Lachnospirales; Lachnospiraceae.
UACGUAGGGGGCAAGCGUUAUCCGGAAUUACUGGGUGUAAAGGGUGCGUAGGCGGCCAUGCAAGUCAGAUGUGAAAACUCAGAGCUCAACUCUGAGGCUGCAUCUGAAACUUCGUGGCUAGAGUGUGGGAGAGGAAAGUGGAAUUCCGAGUGUAGCGGUGAAAUGCGUAGAGAUUCGGAGGAACACCAGUAGCGAAGGCGGCUUUCUGGACCAUAACUGACGCUGAGGCACGAAAGCGUGGGGAGCAAAC